GCUCGUGUCGUGAGAUGUUCGGUUAAGUCCGCUAACGAGCGCAACCUCGUCGUAUGUUAUAUGUGUCAUACGAGACUAGCCGGUAAAAAGCCGGAGGAAGGUGAGGAUGAUGUCAAGUCAGCAUGACCUUUAUAUCCAGGGCUACACACACGCUACAAUGGUCUGUACAAUGGGUAGCCAAGCCGCGAGGCGGAGCCAAUCCUGAAAGCAGGCCUCAGUUCAGAUUGCAGUCUGCAACUCGACUGCAUGAAGCCGGAGUUGCUAGUAACCGCAGGUCAGCAAUACUGCGGUGAAUACGUUCCCGGGUCUU
RNAcentral lists this ribosomal RNA (310 nucleotides) under uncultured Anaerolineaceae bacterium. RNAcentral describes it as "bacterial SSU rRNA". It matches the Rfam family "Bacterial small subunit ribosomal RNA", at positions 1058 to 1382 of the family's 1533-position model. Lineage: Bacteria; Bacillati; Chloroflexota; Anaerolineae; Anaerolineales; Anaerolineaceae. The record is from RNAcentral.